AGAAGGUGGGGGGACCAGUGGCUUAAUGGUCAGAGGAUGAAACUUAGGAAGGACCUCCCUUAAUUCAUCAGGGCUCUCAUGCCUGAAUUGCAUUCACAUGACCAGAGCAGCACUGUGAUGACCAGAACUUCAAGGCCAUCUCAAGAUGGAUUGUAGACAUCAUAACAAGCUUGCUCCUUGAUGGACUGGAAUAUAUUUGAACAACUUUUGUUCCAUCACAUGAAAUUAGCUAAUCAGAGAUGGAGGUUUCGCUAUCAAAAAUAGAAAAUCUACACAGCCACCACUAUAAAAAUACCCCAUAUUUAUUUACAAACCUAGAAUACUCAGAAUAAUAUAAGGCAACUGAAGUGGUCAUUUAAAGCUACUUCCUCCAAAGGAAGUCAUACUGAACUUGGUAAAUAUAUGUAGAAUUACAUAUGAAGCCUGCAUUGCAACAAUAAAAUCAUAUUGGCUGCUUUCAAGAUCAAAGCACAGAAUUUAAAA
Pantherophis guttatus is the source of this 483-nucleotide long non-coding RNA. RefSeq lists it as uncharacterized. The record is from RefSeq and is a predicted model, not a curated record. NCBI's taxonomy places the organism in Eukaryota, Metazoa, Chordata, Lepidosauria, Squamata, Colubridae.